CUACUCUUGACAUCCAGAGAAUUCGCUAGAGAUAGCUUAGUGCCUUCGGGAACUCUGAGACAGGUGCUGCAUGGCUGUCGUCAGCUCGUGUUGUGAAAUGUUGGGUUAAGUCCCGCAACGAGCGCAACCCUUAUCCUUGUUUGCCAGCACGUAAUGGUGGGAACUCCAGGGAGACUGCCGGUGAUAAACCGGAGGAAGGUGGGGACGACGUCAAGUCAUCAUGGCCCUUACGAGUAGGGCUACACACGUGCUACAAUGGCGUAUACAGAGGGCUGCAAGCUAGCGAUAGUGAGCGAAUCCCACAAAGUACGUCGUAGUCCGGAUUGGAGUCUGCAACUCGACUCCAUGAAGUCGGAAUCGCUAGUAAUCGUGAAUCAGAAUGUCACGGUGAAUACGUUCC
This 400-nucleotide ribosomal RNA is filed under the name uncultured bacterium. Its description in RNAcentral is "bacterial SSU rRNA". It matches the Rfam family "Bacterial small subunit ribosomal RNA", at positions 975 to 1374 of the family's 1533-position model. The record is from RNAcentral.